RNAcentral lists this unclassified non-coding RNA (1526 nucleotides) under Hevea brasiliensis (rubber tree). Lineage: Eukaryota; Viridiplantae; Streptophyta; Magnoliopsida; Malpighiales; Euphorbiaceae. The record is from RNAcentral.
GAAAAAGCUAAGCUGAAUCAACACAAGUUGUAAGCAAAUUGAGGUGGACUGAUUCUCGGCCAGAUCCGGUAUCAGAUUAAUAUUUAGCCCUUCGAAAUUCCAAAAAGUUACAUUUUAUAUUUGAAGCUUAUGGAUGACCUUACUGAACAGCCUCUUCCACCUGGGGUUCUUUCUACGUCAUAUUCUUCACCACUUGUGCCAACUUUGAAUCCUGCUGGACAUUUGCCCCAGUCCUUUCAGAAAACUCGUUACCUUGCUGGCAAUGGCGAUGGAAAUCUUUUCCCUGUGGUUGCUUCUGUUCAACCUUGCUCUGAAUCUUUUCAUACCUCUCAACACGACUCUUCUGAGGCUAUACUCAAUACUUUACAGCCGCGAAGUGCUAAUGAUCUUGAGAGCGCUGCUCAGAAUGCUGUUUUGCAUGAACAGGAAAUUUCUGCACAAAAAGUAAUUCAAAGCCAAAGAGAAGCAAGAGAUGCAAGUGGACCUAAGGAUAAUUCGGAUAUUUUCUCUGGUCGUCAUGACCCAAAUGCUUUAAAGGAGCAUUUACUCCAAAUGACGGCAGACCAUCGUGUACAAAUGUCCUUAAAGCGUGGAAAGUCUGCACAGCCUGAGCAAGGUAAUGUGGAAAUUGGAAAUGGAUAUGGAGUGCCAGGUGGAGGUGCUUAUUACAGUGCCUCAAAUACCGAUGACUCGAUCUCCAAGACUAAUGGGGGUUCCGAACAUAAUUCUGGUAAAGAAUUACCUGAAUACCUCAAGAAGAAGUUGAAGGCUCGAGGUAUUCUUAAAGAUGAUUCAAAAAUAGAGAACCAUGGCAUAGCAAUCAAUAGCUCAAAGGCACAAUUACCAAAGACAUCAGAUGCCACUUUGCCUGUGGGAUGGAUCGAAUCCAGGGACCCUACAAGUGGUGCUUUAUAUUAUUAUAAUGGAAGUACUGGGAAAAGUCAGUGGGGAAGACCUACUGAGGCUCCUGCACAAGUUUCUGGGGUGUGUUCGGGACUUCCUGAAUAUUGGCAGGAGGUUCUUGAUGAAUCAACUGGUCAAAAAUAUUACUAUAACUCACAGACUAAUGUAUCACAAUGGGAACAUCCUUCUAAACCACAGCAGGUUGCCAUUCAGCACCAUGAUGGAACAGUCACCAACAAUGCAACUAAUGUAACUUGGGUUGACCAAGCUUCCACAUUCCAGAGAUGCAUUGAAUGUGGGGGAUGGGGUGUGGGGCUUGUACAGUCAUGGGGUUACUGCAAACAUUGCACUCGAGUUCUCAAUCUUCCUCAAAGCCAGUAUGUGUCAGCAAAUGUGGAGAGACAACAACAAACUUCUGGGGAUGCAGGUGUCACAGAAGACUCUGAAAAAAAGUUUCAGAGGCAGAGGUCUAGUUUCAAACCACCAAUGAGUAAAAGCAACAAAAAAGACAAACGGAAACGCACAAAUGAUGAGGAUGAUGAAUUGGAUCCUAUGGAUCCAAGCUCUUAUUCGGAUGCUCCUAGGGGUGGUUGGGUUGUAGGUCUCAAAGGAGUGCAACCACG